Long non-coding RNA from Neofelis nebulosa (Clouded leopard), 6555 nucleotides. RefSeq lists it as uncharacterized. The record is from RefSeq and is a predicted model, not a curated record. Lineage: Eukaryota; Metazoa; Chordata; Mammalia; Carnivora; Felidae. The transcript is spliced from 2 exons.
CUCUCUCUCUCCUUCAAAAAUAAAUAAAAACAUUAAAAGUAAGCUUUGAGUGAUUAGUAAAAGCAUAGAUAUUGAGGUCAGACAGCUGUGGUGAUUAAAAUAAUAAAGCACCUUGAACAUACAGUUGACCUUGAACAUUUGGCUGGAUGAGGGGUGCCUGCUCCCCAUGCACUCAAAACAACUCAUGUUACUAUUGACUCCCUCCAAACUUGACUACACACAGCCUACUGUUGUCCAACACCAAAUUUGGGGAGAAGAGAACAUGAAAUAAGGAAGAGGGAUUAGGAGAGUGGCAGUAGAAAGGGAAAGGAGAGGCAAUUAUGAGGAACAUGUUCAAGGUAGAGCCAAUAGAACUUGGUAACUGAUUUUGUGUGGGUUAAGGGAAGGAUAAAAAAAAAAAAUGUGUUCCAGCUGAUGUGAGCAGAAUGAAGUGGCAUUAACAGAAUAAUAAUUAUAACCGUAGAUACAAUUUGUUGAGUGCUGAUUGUGCUUCGGGCCCUGUGUGUCCAUUACCACUUAAUUUUAGCGACGUGACACUUAAUUUUAACAACUUUGGGAGAUUACCAUCCCCAUUCUGCAGAUGAAGAAACCAAGGUUCCUGGGAGUCGAAUUACAUCACCAAGUAUGGAUUUGAGAGCUGUCUUAUUUUAAACGCAUCAUGGAGAAUAAAGGAAGUUAAGAGGAGACGCGGCCACAGGUGAGAUAGAAUGACCAUUGGAAUCGCCUGUUUGCACUAAGGAACUUCUAGUAGGUUCUGAGGAGAAAUUGACAUCCCUUGGGCAUCGGGACAAGGGGUGGAGAAUGCUUUGUGUACCUUCCAUAUCUCAGUGGGCCUCUAGUUGUAGUAGAUGUUUAACAAAUAUGUGUGGAAAGAAUGAAUGAUGCCUGGCAAUCAUGCUGUGUUUCUUCAGACCAGUAACUGAAGUCCACCGAAUCAUGUUUCAAAGACAUGAGCCAUUAUCACAUUUCGCCACUUACCCCUGUAGUUCUCAGCCUGGUAUCGUUCUAACGUUUACGAAGUCAUCUCACCAUGUUUACCUCUGUGUCAAGGUUUAGUUUACUCUGAGGAUUCUCUCCCCAACUUCGUUAGAAACCCACUGGUACGUAUUCUCAUCUUCAUUAAGGGACAAAGCAGGGUGCAAGGAGCCCAGCGCGUUCCCCAGCAAAUAAAAUGGAAAGAGAUGGGCGCCCGGCAUGGUCCCAGAAAUAAAUCCACGACCACGAGUCUUCUGUCAUCUAAGCAGACACUCAUCUGUGUAUCUCUAUGAUUACAGUUGAAUUGGCCUCUAGGCUUCUGUAACUUUUCAGCUUGUGUGGGAACAGAAAUUGUCCUCUGCCCAAGAGGGUCAGAACCAGAGAUCACAACCCCAGGUAGCACUUCAGGCAGUCGAUGGCCCCCAUUCCUCUGACCAAGGAUUCUUGCCUUUCUUUUCCAGCUCUACUCUUACCCCCUCAUUCCUUGCUUUCCUUCAACUUUUCCAGCCCCUUCUCCUACUCCAUUCCUCCUGCUCUGCCUGUCCUUCUGUCCACCCUCUGCUGUCCUACUCCCAGAGAUCCUUCCCUCCCCCACUCGUCCUGUUUCCUUGCCUCACCGGGCAGGCCCUGAGGCAGUGCUGGGACGACCACCACGGAGCCCUGACGUCAUAGGCCAGAACACGGAGAGCCCAGAGCAGGGGUUCUUGACCGAUGAUCCAUAAAUGAGCUCCAGGAGUCCCGCGAACCCUUGGAAAUUAUGUACAAAAGUUGGCCGUAGGCACUACCUGCCGUUAUUUUUGGAGCAGGGUCCGUGACGUUUAUCAGAGUCUCAAGGGAUUUCAAAACCCAAAAAAGGUAACAUCAAGUAGGCUUGGAUUAUCAAGUAAAGUAAAAAGUAAGCAUCUUUUUUUUUUUUUCACUUUACUUUAAAGUAAACCUUACCACUUGGUCUGGAGAAACCAGGUGGCUCUUAGCAGAUGAGAUUUUCUAGGAAUAUCUGCCUAUAUUUCCUGAAUGGAGCGAGCUACCAGAAUGUCAACAGCGCAUUAGGACGGACUAUUGAAUGAUGGUCAAUCUAAUUUCAAUAUCAGGGCUAAAGAGCUGCAGAUACCGACCCUUGAAAGCAAGGCAAAAGGGAGGGGCGGGAAUCUGUCACGGAACAUUGACAUUGUUGCCUUGUUCAAGGCACUGGGAAUAUAGUGGUAAUAAGACAAACUGGAUUCCCUGAAUUCAUUGAAUUCUAGUGUAAGAAGCAAAUAAAUAUAUGAGCUCAGAGACUCGUAAAUGCUAUGAAUGAAAGAAAGCAGGGUAACGUAACAUGGUACUGGGGAGGCAACAUCAAACAGGGUGGUCAGAGAAGAGCUUUCUCAGAAGCCGACAUUGGGGUUAAUCUUGAGUGGUGACAAGCCAGAGAUGGGUAGGUCCUGGGAAAGAGCAAUUGGGCGGGUGGGGUAGGAAGCGGGAAACAACAAAUGCAAAGGGCUUGAGCUUGGAUGUGAACUUGAAGCAAAGAAAACCAGAGACACUGGAGCAUAGUAAGCAAGAGAAGAAAAGGAUACAAUGAUGACAUCAGAGUGGGGAACAGAGACCAGAUAAUGUACAGAAUUUCAGGCCAAGGUAAGGACUUGGGAUUUUAUACAAACCCACAUUUGAAAUCCACCGGAGCAUACUAAGCAGGGGAGUGAAGAUAAACAUUUAUUUAACAAAGAUUUGUUUGACAACCUACUGUAUACGAGUCAUUUCCUAGUCAUGAGGGUCUAUGCCAGGCCCGGCCUCUGCUCUCAUGGAACUUACAUUUGAGUGAAACAAAUUAAAUGAACCCAGCAACAGGCAAACACCAGGGAACGAUAAAUUUUAUAAAGAAGAUGAAGUCAAAAAGUGCGGCGGAAAGUGACCUGCAAGCUACUAUAGACUGAGUGCAGGAGAAAUGGCCAACACAGUGGCCCCCACUGAGAAACAAAUGUGCUAGAAUGUUUGAGGUAAGAACCAAAGACAGAGGGGCAAGAUGGGGAGAGUGGUUCAAAACUGAGGUCAAAGAAGAAAUAAAAAGGUAGGUAAGGUUUAGAUUAAGAAAAUGAAAAGGCAUUGGAGGGUUUUAAACACGAUGCCUUCAUCUGUUUGAGCUGCUAUAGCAAAACACCAUAAAUGGGGUGGCUUCUAAGAAAUAGAAAUUUCUCUCUCCCAGUCCUGGAGCUGAAAGUUCAAGAUCAAGGCACCGGCGGUGUCCAUGUUUGGUAAGCGCUUGCUUCCUGGUUUAUAGGCGGCUGUCCUCUCAUUGUUCUUCCCAUGGCGGAAGGGGUGAAGGGGCUCCGCGGGGUCUCUUGUGAGAGCACACCUCUCAUUCAUGACAGUUUCACAUUCAUCACCUAAGCAUCUCCCAAGGCCCCACGUUCAAAUACUAUCACGUUGAUCAUUAGGUCUCAAUGUCUGAACUUUGGAGGGAUACAAACAUUCAGUAUUAACACUGGAGAACAACGUCCACUGACUUUUACUCUAAAAGUAUAAUGGGCUUCAAUGCAGAGAAGGGGUUGCUAGGGCGGAGAUGGGGUUGAAAGGAAGCUGUUUAAGAAAGUGCAGCGGUAACUUAGGCCCCAAAUGACGGUACCUUGGACAAGUACCGUCGUACUAGACAAGGUCAAAAGGAUUAGAUUUGGGAUCUUUCUUUUGUCGGUAAAGCCGGCGGGACUCUCUAGAGGCUAUGACGUAGAAGGAAGAGGAGGACAAGGAAUUAAACUUCUGGAUUUUGGUUUGACCAGUUAAAUAAAUGGUACACCACUUACUGUGGUGGAGAAGGUAUCCUCCACGAGGUAAAUAGUUGCAUUCCCACUUUACAGAUGAGGAAACUAAGCUUCAACAAAUAUGAUUCCAAAAUCUAUGCUUUAUCCACCACAGUGUCUUUGCCAGGACUGUGGAUUAUCCAGGUUUGAUUAAUGGGCAUAGGAAGAGGGUAUAUAUGGCAAAAAAGGCAAGUAUCUUGGCAGCGUACGUAAGGUGCGUGUGUGCAUGCCUCUGUGUGUGUGUGCGUGUGUGUGUGUGUUCUAGUAAUCUUGCUGAGAGAAGUGUAGAUCAGCUCUCUUAUUUUUUAUCCCUUCCUUUAUCGUCCCCAUCUCUGAAAGUGGAAAGAUAGUGGAGAAAUCAGAAGACUCCAGACUUGAGACCAGCCUGUGCUGCGGGUACCAGGAUGAGCUCUGACAAACUGAGGGCUAAACAUGGACAGAUUUAGCAUACUCAUGCCUUUUGCCUUUCCCUUUCUCAUUUAUUGCCUGGGACGUAGCCGUAACAUCUAAAGGUAAAAGAGUAGUCUUUAGACAACGAGGAUGAAAGGUGUUGCUGUGGAUGGUUGAAGAGGACAGCAGAAAUGGCCUGGAUCUUUAAUGAUCGCCUUGAAAACCAUCCUUGUCCUUGACUGCUUACCUCUGGAUUUCUUUUUAGAGGAGGUAAAAUAGUUUGCUGAAGUCAUCGUAACUGGCUUACGAACACAUGUGCCAAACGCUGUCUUAACCGAUACAGGAACUAAACUUGGUCACAAAAGUAUACACUGAUCUUAACAUUGUAAGUGACUUCAAGAAGAAAUAAAGAAGCUAUUUUGUCCCCCCAGAAAAGAGAUCAUGAAGAGUCUGUUGCUUCUCCUUGGUUGCUUCUCCUGGUUGGCACUGGGUGCGAACAAGAGGUGGGAAUCAUAUAAAAGUAAGGAAAAUCUUAGCUGUGUGGAUGGGGAGGCGAGGUCAAGAGAAAGGAAGUAAGCCAUUCUGUAGAUAUCCAACAUGCCAAAACUUUCCUCCAAAUGUCAAAGCAACGAGCCACCAGGCAGCUGGACUGAACUCAUCCUUCCCUUGCACUUCCUCGUAAUCUGUUUCUCAUCUAAGGUAAGGGUAUCACCACCCACCCAUUCUCCUUGGUCAAAGAGCACUAUCUUCUUCAGCCCCGUGGGGACUUGAUCACCAAAUCCUCUAGAGUGUACCGCUUCAACUCAGACCCUUCUGUGUAUAUGAAUGAAGGAGACAGAUGUACAAAGAUAUUUAAUUGCUGCUCAAGACAUCUUUGUCUUCAUGGACAACGGCAUUAAUUUCCCAGUCACCGGUUCGUCCCCAUUCUUGUCUUCAGUCUCAAGUUCUGGCACAGUUGUAUUCCUAGAAGCCAAAAUGUAUCUGUUUCUCCUUUGCUUUAAAAUAUCGAGGAGCUUUGUGACACCCGGGUGGCUCAGUUGGUUAAGUGGCCGACUUCGGCUCAGGUCGCGAUCUCACAGUUUGUGAGUUCGAGCCCCGCAUCGGGCUCUGUGCUGACAGCUCGGAGACUGGGGCCUGCUUUGGAUACUAUGUCUCCUUCUCUCUCUGCCCCACCCCUGCUCAUGCUCUGUCUCUCUCUCUCAAAAGUAAAUAAACAUUUUUUUUAAGUUUUUUUAAAAAAGUUAAAAAAAUAAAAUAUUGAGGAGCUUUGAAAAAAAAAUAUCUAGGACCUUUGUGUUUGGAUGGUGUUCAAAUUCCUCUGCAUGGCACAUUAGGACUUUCAAAAUCUACCCACAUGUUACAUCUCUAGCCGUAUUUCCUAUUAUUGUCUCUGCACUGAAUUCCAGGUGUACCAUGAACUUUCAUAAUUCUAUAAAGCAGUAGGUGCUCUACCAGAAGUAUCUUUCUGUCUCUUUUCAUCAGCUAAACCCAGCUCAAAUUCCUUUCUUUCUUUCCCAGGAAAAUUAAUUAUUAAUUAUUUUGGACCUCCUACAUCCUGUUCACAUAACUCUUGGUUUUGGGGUGUGUGAGUAUGUGAGGGGAGCCGGUGCCCGAAUGGCUAGCACAUGGAAACAUCUCAGUGUAUCGGAGAAAAAGGAAAAGACGAAGAGUGUUUCCAUUAGAGACUUUUUUUCUUUUCUUUUUGCUUACUUCUUCUAGUGAACGUGAAGUUGAAUCUAUGUCUUCAUAUACAAAGGGAAGUAUUUUCAGAAAAUUAUUUUUGAAGCGGUAACUCAUGUUUCAGAAAGUCAGACUGCAAAGACACCCAAGAUCCCUUCUAGCGGAAUUCUAUGCCAAGAUAUAUGUAUAUAUAUUUUUAAUGCUCUAUCAGAAUAUUUUAAAAUGAAAAGUUUGUAGAAUUCGGUUAUGUAACUAAAUGUCUGAAACCUUCCCUUUGCUUUGUACUUAUAUGUUGAUAAAAGCCAAUGGAAAUCAAUGAACUUUAUAUUUCUGAAUUAGCUCUUUGGAUUUCAACAAAUUUCAAGGCAACAUAAAGUAGUUCAGUGGACUAAGUAAUGUUGAUAAAAUGAUAGACAAUUUUGCGUUUCUCUUGAUUGAAUCACAUUUUGUAAAGUCAAUACCAAAUAUAUAAGUUAAUAGCAACUAUCUUUCUUAAAUCGGUAUUAACUACCUACAUUAGUUAGGAGUAAAGGAUUGUUUUAUAUGACGCUUCCCUGAAUUACGAGGUUACUGAAAGCAAGACAUUACUUAUCAAAUAAGGCAGAGAAUGGAGAGGGAAAAUACUCAUUCUGCCUCGAUCUAGUCACUCUGUGUGGACAAAUCGAGAGGGAAGUUGAAAUGAGAGUCAAAUACACACACGCACACACACACACGCACGCACGCACACACACAC